AUGAACGCUGGCGGCGUGCCUAAUACAUGCAGGUCGAGCGAACAGACGAGGAGCUUGCUCCUCUGAUGUUAGCGGCGGACGGGUGAGUAACACGUGGAUAACCUACCUAUAAGACUGGGAUAACUUCGGGAAACCGGAGCUAAUACCGGAUAACAUGUUGAACCGCAUGGUUCAACAGUGAAAGACGGUCUUGCUGUCACUUAUAGAUGGAUCCGCGCCGCAUUAGCUAGUUGGUAAGGUAACGGCUUACCAAGGCAACGAUGCGUAGCCGACCUGAGAGGGUGAUCGGCCACACUGGAACUGAGACACGGUCCAGACUCCUACGGGAGGCAGCAGUAGGGAAUCUUCCGCAAUGGGCGAAAGCCUGACGGAGCAACGCCGCGUGAGUGAAGAAGGUCUUCGGAUCGUAAAACUCUGUUAUUAGGGAAGAACAAAUGUGUAAGUAACUAUGCACGUCUUGACGGUACCUAAUCAGAAAGCCACGGCUAACUACGUG
Molecule: ribosomal RNA, 496 nt
Filed under: uncultured bacterium
Lineage: Bacteria
Description: partial 16S ribosomal RNA
Rfam family: Bacterial small subunit ribosomal RNA
Source: RNAcentral